AGGGCCACAUGUGGGGCAUAGGGAAGUUCCCAGGGUAGGGGUUGAAUCAGAGCUUCAGUUGCCAGCCUACAACACAGCCAUGGCACCUCGGGAUUCAAGCCAAGUCUUCGACCCACACCACAGCUCACGGCAAUGCCGGAUCCUUAACCCACUGGACAAGGCCAGGGUUCGAACCCACAUCCUCAUGGAUACUAGUCGGGUUUGUUAUCGCUGAGCCACAACGGGAAUCCCAUUUUUCUUAUUUUUAAGUGGGGAUAACAAUGACCCUUGUCUCCACAGCAUCAUUGUAUGAACUUGAUCACGGGAGGGGGGGGCAUUUUCGUCCUUCCUCCAAAGCACGUGCCCAGCUGAGAUCAGCAGCCACAGACCAGCUUCCGAAGGCGUGGGGUUGACCACGGUCGGCCCCACCACUACAAACCUCUCCCUGUCUACAGAGUUUGGCUUAUGGUUUGCACAUUAAAUAAAACACAGAAGAUAUAACCUCCCCUCUCUGAACACACAGUACUUGGUACUGCAGGGCAGGGAGCAUCUUGGCCACAGAGGCUUCUCAGAAAAAAAUGUUAGUUGCCACAGGGGCAGUGCCAGGACUCAGCCGUGAGAAGCCACCAGCCAGGCCAUGGGUUAGCAGUGUCUUCAGAAGACACUUAAGGUUGAUCUGAAUCAGAAAACUGGGUCAUGCCUGAGCUUCUCUUAUCAGCCUGGUUUUCUUUAGGAGCAAAAACCACCCCAUUUCAAAUGCCUGAACAGCCUCAGAAAGUCAAAACCAACCAGGCUUUUGCACGGAAACAUGAACCAGACCAAGGGCUCCCCUGGAGGUGACUCAGAGAAGCGCCCACCUGCAUCCCCUGCUGAGUCCCCUGCAGAGGUACACGUCCCACCAAGCCAGGCAAGAGGUCGUGGUGGCUUCGCAGCUGCGUUGCUCGGCUGGUAUCAGCGUUCAUUUGUGCAGGCUUCGUUUCCAGAGCUGCAGCGUGCACACCCUGGGGUGUGCCCGGGGGGAUCUAUGCGGCUGCUCUAAAGCCCCCAGCCCCCGCCAUGUCCCCUGGGACACCCACCAUGCCGCCCUCUGGUUCUAGGACGGCGGGGCCAGGCCGGGAGGAGAAGCAAAGUCAAGGCAGAGACGGGAGCUGGAAGACAAGCACGUGGAAUGAGGCCUCCCUCUCCCGCGUUCGAAGCCAAUUUCCCACCUGGCCACACGAGGACAUUUAAUUACUGCUGUGCUCGUCACCUCCUGCAAGUCAUUCAUAAUGACCCUCUGUAAAUACCGGCCCAUCUCACAGCCAGAAGCCACCGGCCACCCCCUCCUGCCCCACCACGGCCGCCCACCGGCUCCCGCGGGCCUUCCUGCAGGUUUCAAUCCUGGAGACGGACCCUAGAGGCAACCCGGUUGAAUUCACCUUUCAAAUGAGAUUUCUGGAUGCAUCCAUUUCAUUUCCGUCGCCCCCUAAUGCUGUGGAGGGUUUUUUUUUUUUUAAUUCUAUUAAAAAAUGCAAUUAAAUUUGUCUCAUGGAAUUUGCUCUUUAAAAAUCCGGACAGCUGCUUGCUCGUGGCAGCAUCAUGCCCUUGACUCCUUCGCAUGGCUUUUCUUCAUCUCCGUUCAGUUAUUUCACUGAGGAUUAAAGAUGGGCUCACCAGAUGGCAAAUGCCAGGAUCUCUUCCCCCCCACCCCCCGACUCAGAACAGUAUCCUGUCGGCCGGGAUGCACAGCCCAGGCCCCUCUGUGCAGCUCUCCGGACAAACAAUUGUUCCUUUUAAAUUCGCUCAACUCCAAAGAACAAUGAAGACACAGCUCAAGAACAGAAAGCUGAGCACACAGCUCUGGGAACAUUGCGGAGCCCCGCCCCGCAGGCCCCGCCCCACAGGCCCUUCCUCUCUGCAUCUUUCUUGCUUCCUUUGGGCCAGGAAGCCCAUGAGGUCGUGUCUGCGGCGAGAUGGUGGGUGUUUCCAAAGAAAGACUCCGUAGACACAGCAUUCUGCUUGCCGACAGUCAGGGAUGCGGGGGAUUUGGCCUGGCUGGCUUUAUAAACUACCGACGGGCCUGCUCCUUGCAAAACACUAUUUUUAUCAGUUAAUUACACAGUUUUCUUAUUAAAUAACAACGGGAACACAUUUCUCGUGUGUUUUCUUGUCGCGAUUAAUUGAACCUGCCGCCCUGCACAAAAAGUCCGGUUCUCAUCUCCGCUGCCGGACGAGGCACAGCCCUUGACAGUUCAGCUCCUUCUAUGAACAGGAACGCGUUCCACUGCCAGGCCGGUCCUUUCCCCGAAUCCCCGAAAUGAGUUCCUUCCCUCACAAGAACACGUCUCUGGGUCUAAGACCAACGUCUGCAGAACAGACGUCGCCCUGGAAAUGACUUUCCUGCUGCGGUUCUGCCUGUGCCUGCGGGCACGUGGUCAGGUGCAGCGCAGAGCCCGAGCAGCCCGGUCGGUCACACUUGGGGAGGAGACGCGACGUGGGGAGAGAGGCCUUGUCGUGCUCAUUUUUCAAACAGGCCCACGUGCGAUGUGACUGGGCUGGGGGUGGAGCAGGAAGGGAAAGGCCAAAGCCAGUGACAGUCACUGCGGCCUGGGCUUUUCUAUUGCUGUUGGUUAUUCUAAUUGAUAAUCACUUUAAAACUAGUUUUAUUAUGUGCUUAACCCUUGACCUAGAAAGGGGACCCAAGUCAGGCCCUCAUGUUAUUGCUCCAACCCACAGAGAAAGACUAGAAGGCCAACAAGAAAAGCCACAAUUUUUGAGGCCAAGUAGUUAACCACAGCAAUUACAGAAACGGUCCCGAGAAAAGGAAGUUCAGGUGUUUUCUCAAUAUAUUCCUUGUGGUGGGCGGGCAGCCUCUAAGAGAGCUGCCUCGGGAUCCCCCCUCCUGAUAGUCAGUCCUCCUGUGCUCCCUCCCUCUUGAGUGUGGGCUCAACUUACUGAUCAGCUUCUAAUGAAGAAAACGCUGCAGAAACAGGAGCUGUCACUCCCAAGACUGGGUUACCCAUAGCCUGAGGCCUCUUCCUUGGGGGGCCCCUCACUUGCUCGUUGACCGUAAGGAAAGCCGGCCCUCUGAUGAAAACCAGGCCACAAGAUCCUGAGAGGGAGGUAGAGAAAACCAGGGGCCCCGCGUCUUACAGUCCAGGAGCCGCAGAACCCUCCCAGCAACCACAGCGGGGAGCUUGGAAGCAGGUGCCCCCAGCCCAGAUCGACUGCUUCCCUGUCUUUUACUCAUGAAAUUAUUAAUCAACCAAAACCCUUUUUCCCUGCCAGAUAUGAUCUUAAAAACUUUGCAGCACCCCCCUCCCCGACGCCAUCCCCAAUGCACGGGGUUGGCAACGGAGGGAAAAGCUAGUCACCGCCCCCUGAGCCAAGGGCAGACUCAGAGUCAGCGGGCCUGAGGUCUACUCGCAAAAGCCCAGAGACUUUGGGGAAGCGUUUACCCUCUUUGAACGUCGUCUUCAUCUUCCGUAAAAUGGAGACGGUCUCUUUGGACGCUCUGCGGUAUAAGCAACAGAACUCGACAAAAACAGUCUUCGGAGGACUCCUCGUCUUCCCAGGCACCCUCCUCAGGGGCUGGGCUCUGCUCUUUUGGCCACAAGCUGGUUCCAGCAGCACCACGUCCUCCUCAGGGAGGCUCCCCAGCAUGAAACGGAAGCGCUCUUAUCUCCAGGUCUGUAAUUGAGGAAAGAUGCCCCACCCAGUCCCCAGCAGAAUUCCCCAGCGCCCUCUUUGCCAGACUUGGCUUUCAUGCCUCAUCCUUAAGGAACGGAUGGCCGAGGGCACUGAGGCGACCGUGACCUGCUAAGACCGCCCCUUUUCACCCCUGGUGUUGGAAGACACCCAGCCUGUCCCGAAGCAUCUGGUCCUCCGGAGAGGAGCUGGCAGAUGCUGAGCUCCUGUAGACAAGAACAGGGGAGGCUGCUGUUGGGUGCGCAUUCGUCCCUGUGGGUGGGCCAGGUCCUGUUGGAUGUGACACACGUGGCACUCAUGCCUUGCUUGCGCUGCGGGCCCGUGCAGGUCAGUGAGGGCGGGGCUCGAGGUGGGCCCACGGCAGGGGCCUUGGCACGGGCUGCAGCAGCAGAGGAAGCCCCGAGGCCUUUCCUUCUUUGUCAAGUUCACUCACACAUCUUUGUCCAGAGCAAAUGAGGGCCCCGCGUCACCUCACGGGGGCUGGAAAGUGCCAGCUUCCAUGGACCCGGAGAAAGACAAUGGAACAGGAGUGGUUUUCUCCAACCCCAGUAAGCAAACACCUCGGAUGGCAGUGAAGCCUCAUCUCCUCAUUAGGUUUAUCGAGGUUCAAAUGAGAUCGUGUGUUUAUUCGUUUCUCAUUCAUGAAACACCUAAUAUGAUUUCCCAGGCACUGGCCUGGGGCAGCUCGGCAAGACACAGUCACGGCCCCUCCCAGAUGUGACCCCUGAGAAGGGGACGAAGUGGCUCCGGGUCCUUCCAAGCUGGCUCGCCUUUCCUUCCCCUUCCAGGUCUAGCGUGCUUCUCUCGCGUGCCUGUCCUCCUGCGGUUGGUCUUAACUUUGUCUUCCUCUUGUUGGUGUCAAGUCCUCGCAGGGCCCUCAGGAGGCUAUGUUGCGAAAGGGGACUGGUCCGGAGUGGCUCGGUGUCCAGGGGUGGCAGUGACAGCGGCGGGGACGACGCUGAGCCCAUAUUCACAGACACCGUCUUUCCUUGAUCUCGCUCAGCCCACCGAGAGGGAGAAGAUGGGUUUGAUCUGGCUCCUUUCCAAAUUCCUUUCCCAUGGCUUGGCUGCCUCAUGGGAAACGAGAUUCCUGCUCGAGUCAAUUCUAAGCGCUCAUCCACCUCCCCCUUUAACCAGCACCGUUAUUGCUGGUUUCGCACCUCUUGCAAGUGUCAGCUUCUUAAAGAAGGCGUCAUGAUACCGUUUGAGUUGACCAGCCUACGGUUACAGAGAGGCCCCCAAACUUCAGUGGCUUCAGGCAAACUACCAGCUGGGUCACCCGCUCAGUUCAGGUCUGCAGGGUUCUCCACCUGACCAACAGAGGCUCAGCCUGAUGGCGGUUGUGCACUUUCAACCGUGUCUGCCAGAGCUGCCCUGGCCAUUGGCAGCUCCACCAACUCGAGAAGAAAGCUCGUGGAUGGAGCUCGGAGGAGGUUUUCUGGGGGCUGGGUUUAGAAACCAUCUGUCACUUCUGCCCACAUAGCACUGCGGAGAGCGCAGCCACGUGACUGCCCCCAACAGCAAGGGAGGCUGGGCAACAUCACUUAAUGUGUCCCCAGGAAGGAAAGAGAACAGAUUUUGGUGGCUAGCCAGCACUCUCGCCCACACUCACCCACACGACUUCCUGUUUUUUAAUUUGGCAAAAGCUGAGAUCACAGAGUGUUUCUAUCCAGCAAUGUCCUUUUGUCCUGACAAGGCCAUGCUCUUUCUGGGAGGAGAGGUUCUCCAGGCUCAUGAUGCAGGCAGUGGACAGAGGCCACUGCCCACCUUCCCUAGAGCACAGCUUCGCCUACUGUCUUGAUCAAGUCCUCCAGUUCCAGACAGAUCACCUUGAGACCUUCCCAGCAGAGAGAGAGACCAGAGGAUGCUUCCCAGGUAAGAACCACCCUUUUCCAGCGGUCACCAAAGGAGAAAGACUGAUGUGAAACACACGUCAUCAGCCGCAAGACUGGGGGAGGGUCUUCUCCAAGAACCACUCUUCACUCACUCACUGAACAAGCAUCUGCUGAACUUGUGUGGACCAGGCCCUAUGCUAUAGACAUGGGCAGUGCACGGAUGGACCAGACUGGACUUCAGAGUCUAGAUUUAUAAAAGAAAGCACAUAGGAAUAUAUGUCUAUAUCUCACGAUAAGCAAUUAUCAAAGAAGAAGGCGGCCGAGGCAGGUAAUUACAGCAGAGGUGGGAGGGGUGGCUAAGCUAAGACCUGAAGGUCAGGGUGUUAGUCGUGCAAAGAGAGUGGAGGAGGGGCAAGCCCUCCAAGGAGAGGGAGCAGCACAUCAAAGGCCAGGGAGAAGGAAGGCGCCUGGCAUGACUGAGGAAGAGAAAUGUGGCUGGUGUGGCUGCAGAUGGUGAAGGAAAAGACGGUGAGAGACGAGACUGGAAGAGCGCAGGCUCAGGUCGUGAAGAGUUUGGUAGGUCACGACGAGGAACUGGAAUUAAUCCAAAUAAACUGGGAAAAGCCAGCGGGGGCUUUAUGAAGUAGAGGACAUGAACGCAUCCGUCUGCUCGGGCAGCCACAGCAGAGGACCAUGGCCGAGUGGCUUAAAUAACACAGAUGCAUGGUCUCACGUUGUCCGAGGAGGCUAGAAACCUGAGAUCCCGGAGUCCGUAGGCGUGGUUCCUUCCAAAGCCGGGAAGGAAACCUGUUUCAUGCCUCCCCCAGCUUCCGUGUUUGCUGGCGAUCCCUGGCACCUCUUCUAGACGGCAUUGCCCUCGUGUCUCCACAUCACCUUCCCUCUGAGCAUUUCUCCUCCUCCUCCACGUGGCAUCACUUCCAAUGGGGUCCCGGUCGUAGUGGAUAGGCACCCACCUGCUCCACACGGCCUCAUCUCAACGACUCUCUUUCCAAACCAGGUCACUGCAUCCUGAGGCACCGUGAAUGGGGGCGGGGCAGCUCCCCCCGAAACACACACUUUGUAAGGUUCCUCUCUGCUCGGUGUGAACGGGGAGAGCAGGCAGUCUGAGCAGAGGUGGACAGGCCGGUGGGAAGGGGGAUGUCACUGCUGUCAAGGUGAAGGUCGAUGUGUACCUGGCCGAGGAGUCCAAGGGGAUGCAGCCUAUAUUUUGUUGCUCAAACCAGCACGACCGCUGGUGGAUUGUAUCUUGCUGGUGAGGGAAAGGGGUGAAUCGAGGAUAACUGUAAGUUUCUGGCUUGAGCCGGAAGAAAGAUGGUGAUGAAAUUUAUGAGAUGAGGAGGAAUUGGGGAUUAGAGACACAUUUUGGGAUAGAGCCCCGUGGUUUUAUUUUGGAUAUGUUAAGUUUGAGGCGUGCACGAACCAUCCAAGUAGAGAGACCAAGUAGGCCGUGGCAUAUAAGAAUCGGGAGUACGAAGAAGUCUGCUGCAGAUAUCGACGUGGAGGCAUCAGCAUACAGCAGCUUUACAAUGGCUGGGAAUGGGAGCGGUGGGGGGUGUCCUCCUCCCUGCUCGUCCUGUUCCCCAGCCGGCCCCGCUGCACCCGUGCCUUAUGCUGGCAUCUCCACGGAGCAGCCCAGGGGUCAGGGAUGUUCUGAAGUGCAGGCGCAGAGGCUCCGUCACCCUUCCUCAAGGGAGGCGGAGUGCUGGGGCCCUGACUGUCUAGUGAGCCCCCGUGACAGGCCACACUGGGCUCUGCCCGGAUCCACAGCCCUUGGUUUCUGGAGAAGAUGGAGACGGAGCUCUCCCAGGUUUGUAUCCAGCACAGACCGUCCGCACCCGAGGCACCCACGCAGCCCAAGGUGCAUGGCCACUAAGUCCUCCCAACACGGGUGAGCACGCGUCCACACAGCGCGUCCCUUCCCCAGAAAUGACCUAAACUUUGUGAGGUUCACGUGUCCCUGGCGAUGAUCUCAUUUGCCUGCUUCAAAAGCGCUUUGGUCUGCACAGCCUGUAGCAGCAAAUUUACACUUCAAAAAGCAGAGUUUUUUCCACACCGUAUUCACGUAAUGGGUGAGAAUGUAAAAUUCGUUCCGUUGCUGAUGAGGUCCUUGAGCCAAAUGAGAGGUGUUCAUUUGUCAGCACAGACGCACAGCCCGAGACGCGGUUAGGUAGCUAAUCCAAUAAUGGGUCUUGAUGCUGCGCAUUUAUUUAUACACAGUGUGUCUUGUUAUCUGUUGAUAAUCAGGACCCACAAUUUACUCUUUCUU
Molecule: long non-coding RNA, 7788 nt
Filed under: Sus scrofa (pig)
Lineage: Eukaryota; Metazoa; Chordata; Mammalia; Artiodactyla; Suidae
Description: lncRNA (ENSSSCG00040063747.1)
Source: RNAcentral